RNAcentral lists this long non-coding RNA (670 nucleotides) under Helianthus annuus (common sunflower). RNAcentral's name for it is "hypothetical non coding rna". Lineage: Eukaryota; Viridiplantae; Streptophyta; Magnoliopsida; Asterales; Asteraceae. The record is from RNAcentral.
UUGGUUUAGAACGGACGAUGGGGUUUAGAUUCCCUCAUACAAUACUCAAAUCGUUAACACAAGAUUAGGAGAGCAUCGAACGUAAGUUUCCUUUAUUUUCAGAUGCACUUCGAUUAGUUAUUCUGAUAAUCCCCUUUUUAUUUGCCCUAAUUUUUUUCCCUUUUGAUGGUUGUCACCGGUGGCGGCCAUGGAGUUCGUCAGCGAGGAUUCUGAUCAAAUUUUAGCAGGGGUUUUGAAUAUGUUUUGAUGACUGCCCUUAAAGGUGCAACUUUCCAACAACUUAUAAUUAGAUGAUGAAGAAUGAUAAGUGUCAAAAGCUCUAUCAGGUACCACUAUUGCAGAAUUUGCAUGCAUCCUAUUCAAGCGUUUGUUACUCUAUGUCAGGAUUAAUCGGAGACUACUGAAGAGCAGCACGUAGUUAUCAGGAUAACAAGACUCAAGCCAAAUCGACCAUUUAUAUGCUCUAUUAACCAAAAAGAUUUACAAGCAUCAACCAGCUGAUGGAUAAUCACUGUAGACUAAUAGGUUUUGUCGUCAUUUUUACCACAUAAUGAUGAGGUAUUGAUUUAUAUGGUUUGAUGUAUGUACAUGUCAAGUUUGUGGUGUUCAUACAACAUAUCAAAACGAUUUGUUGACGUUUUCUAAAAAAGAGGAGAGUAUGAGUUCAUUU